Molecule: long non-coding RNA, 260 nt
Filed under: Nicotiana benthamiana
Lineage: Eukaryota; Viridiplantae; Streptophyta; Magnoliopsida; Solanales; Solanaceae
Description: long non-coding RNA (NBEN_LNC026231)
Source: RNAcentral
UGGGAUAGUAGGGUUACCCGUAGAUGACUAGUGUUUUAGCGUAGGUCCCCUCUUGGUUCGUAAUAUGAUAGUUGUCGCUUGUUAUUGUCGCAAGCGACGGUAUUUUGUGUUUCUUAUGUUUACAUAAUCAUUUACGCUAUUUCUGCAGGAUUACUUAUGCUUUAUUUUGUUAUUGUGUUUUGUCUUGUCUUGGUUCCUAACUUUAUCUUUGUUUUCCAAUGCAGCUUUUCAUUCUGUCCUAUGCGCCGAGGGUCGCUNNN